GCAUUUGAAUUAACUUGCAUCAUGAGAAAAUUCAUUAAGUUUUAAAGGUCUUUGAUAUUUGAAUUAAAUUGACGUUUUUACUAUAUGUAGGAAGCUUAUUGGAGCAAGAUAUUUCUACAAAGGUUAUGAGGCAAAUGCAGGUACAAAACUGAAUGCCUCAGAGCUUAGUGUACGUGACUAUGAACGUAGCUGGUUCACAUACUUUAUCAACCGCAGGUGGUAACUUUGUUCCUGGAGCUAGUGUAUUUGGCUUCGGCAAUGGAAUUGCAAGUGCUGGAUCACCAAAAGCUCGAGUUGCAGUGUUAUGAAUGAAAACACAGAGCAUGAUGCAACAAAGCUUGAGGCAGAAGCAAAAGAAGAAGAAGAACACAGAAGGACAAAAAGGGUAAUUAGUAAACCACGGUACCUUGAGGAUUAUGUAACCAAAUGACGCUGAGCUGGCAAUCCUCUUCUAGAAGCAGAAUCCAGGAAUUCCCCUGUGCCGUUAGAGGCUGUCUCCAUGAUUAGCGCAAUGUUUAUUUUCCUCCAAGGCAUAUAAUGUCAAAUUCUGUUAGAAUAUGUAUCUAGAAUGUGCACUGGAAUAUCUACAUAUAUGAGGAUAUGUAAUUCUUAUAGAGGCAAUAAAACAGUUUUAUCCUUACCUUCUUCUCUGCUAUGGAGGUCCUAGACCUCGAAUCCUAGGUUAGCUCUGUAGUCUACAACAUGCAGCCUAAGGCAUGUUGGCCAGCUACGUUCGGUGGUGGAUGUUUAGAUGCAGACAUUUUGGCUACUUUUUAGGCUGCCAUAAGUAACGGCAUUAACGCGAUUUAGGUGUCGUUGGGUUCAGAUAUUGCAUCGGAAUGUUUCUAAGAUGCUACUUCAAUAGGGUCCUUCCAUGCAGUUGCCAACGACAUAACAGUAGUGGCUUCUGGAGGAAAUUCAGGACCUUCUCCUGGAACUGUAUCCAACAACGAACCUUGGAUGCUCACAGUUGCAGCAAGCACAAUUGAUAGAGACUUCGCUGGUUAUGUUACACUUGGCGACAAGAAAAUUAUCAAGGUAAACUAUUUAUUAUAGAACCUUGUCUUGUUAUAUGAAAAUAUGUCACUUUAGUUUGUUAUCUUUUUUCGUUUUCAAGUCAAAAUUUCCAAUAUCAAGUACAAGCAGAAAUCUUUUAUCAGGAUGCUGAAGAGGAUCAUGUGACAUAAGGCACUAACCUACACUCCUGUUCGUUCUGUUAUUGUUAGGGAGCUAGUCUUUCGGAGCAUCACUUACCAUCUAAUAAGAUGUACCCAUUGGUUAGUUCUAUUGAUGCCAAAGCUAAUGAUGCAUCUAUUGUGGAAGCUUAAGAAUAUGCAUACCAACUUGGCCUUCUAAAUUAACUUUAUAUUGGGGAUGUUCUCUUAUAAUUAGUCCAUUCUUGCAGCGCUUAUUGCGACUAUGGAACUCUUGUUCCUGAGAAGGCAAAGAGAAAAAUGUUGGUCUGUUUUGGUGGUGGAACUGACAAGGGUGUGGAAGUUAUUAGGCGCUGUUGGAUUGAUUUUGAACCUCCAUUUGCCUUCCUCUUAAGAAAAUUUGAUAUUAC
RNAcentral lists this long non-coding RNA (1564 nucleotides) under Glycine max (soybean). RNAcentral describes it as "long non-coding RNA (GMAX_LNC000973)". The record is from RNAcentral. Lineage: Eukaryota; Viridiplantae; Streptophyta; Magnoliopsida; Fabales; Fabaceae.